Molecule: long non-coding RNA, 7670 nt
Filed under: Glycine max (soybean)
Lineage: Eukaryota; Viridiplantae; Streptophyta; Magnoliopsida; Fabales; Fabaceae
Description: long non-coding RNA (GMAX_LNC001594)
Source: RNAcentral
UUCUGGUAGAAAAUGGCAGCUGAAGAUGAUAGGAAUCUUGUCGAAAUCAUGGAAACCCUGAAUCCAAUAGAUGUUGCUAAAUACAUGAAUUUUGUUGGUGCCCCCCAAGCUGGUGCUAUAGCUACAUUUUCAGGCACAACUCGCGACACCUUUGAAGGAAAAACAAUCGUGGAGUUGAGAUACGAAGCUUAUGUUCCAAUGGCAAUACGCUGUAUCAAGUCAAUCUGUUCAUCUGCUAGAGCAUCCUGGAACAUACAUUCUGUUGCUGUUGCUCAUCGUCUAGGCACAGUGCCUGUUGGUGAAACAAGUGUCUUCGUUGCUGUCUCGUCUGUCCACCGGGCUGAUGCGUUGGAGGCUUGUAGAUUAUUGAUAGAUGAGAUAAAAGCACAAGUUCCUAUUUGGAAAAAGGAGGUCUAUUCAAAUGGGGAGGCUUGGAAGGAGAACAGUGAGUUCCUAGAGAGGAGGUCUGAGCUUGGUAACAAGAAUGCAGCUUGCUGUGGGAAAAAAUGCAGAAAUUAAAGAGUACAACAAAAAGUCUUGCUGUAGGACCAAGGUUCGGGCUGAUGACGAAUGUAGCUAGAACUAGUAUCAAUGUUGGGGAUCAAAUAUACAAGAGGGUAAUUGCAAUUGUUGUAGUUUGAAGAAUAUGCCCUUUUUCCUCCCUUUGCAUUUGUCCAAUCAGUUGAUAAGAUUGUAUUUUAGCUUUGAAGUCAAUAAGUUUGCCUAUUGAGAUAGAUAGGCUACUUUGAUAUCUCAUUCUGCCCUUUUUUUAGUUUAUUGUGAACAAAGGUGAUAAUGACAUAUUGACAGCAAGAGUUUUAUUAGAAGUUAAUUCCAAGACGUAUAUUUUUUGUAUUAACAAUUCCUUAAUAACUUGAUUUGGGUUUAGUCACACUUAAAACUUUCCACCCCUCUCAAAGAGUAUUAUGUGGGAAUUGAAUUCAUGUUUUUUUCUCAUAAACUCAUUGUAAAUUGUCAGCUGAAUUACAUCUAUUAGGUAUUUAAUGGUUAGUGUUAUAGUGCAAGGAUGAAAGCAACACCAGAGUUUGUAAGAAUGUUGCUAUCUUUUCAAAAUAAAUAGUGUAAUAUAAAAAAAUUUCAAAAAAUAAUAAAAAUAUAGAUGUAUCAUCUAUCAUUAUUAAUAUCCUAUGUAAUAAAAAGAUAAAAAUAAAAAUCCCAUCUUAUGUAAAAAAGAAUAAAACUAAUAAAACCUUACCUUAUGAGUUACGAGUGGAGGAAGAGAAAAAAAAAAAGAACCUACCAUAUAUAAAAAGGAUAAAUUAUUAUUAAAUAUUUUAAAGGCAAAAGGAAAAUUAAACAUAAGAAACUAAAACCUAAGGGCUUGGUUAAGGUGGUUGUGAGUUUUUAAUUUUUGAUUUUUAAAUGUAAUUUUUAAAACAAUACAACAUGUUUGAGAAAAAUAGAGUUAAAAUUGUUUUUAAAUCAUUUUCAAAACAUCCUUAUACUCAUUUUAAAAAUCAAAGAAAAAAAGUUUUGUGAAUUUGAAUUUUAAUGUUAAAAAAAAUAUAUUUCCUAUAUUUUGAUAAUGACACUUUUUUCAUUGUCCACUACUACCAUCAUUAUCAUUGCGACUACCACAACCAUUUCCACCACAUCCACCACCAAUAUCACCUUUGUCCUAUCAUCAUCAGUGUCACGACCAUCAUAUAAUCAUUGUCACUCCCACCAAAGUCAUUGCAACUACCACUAAUACUGCUACCACCAUGAUGACCACCAACAUCACCAUCACCACUAACAUUGUUACCGCAACCAACAUCACUUUUUAUACCACCACCGCACCACCACCACUUACUACCACCACCAAUUCCGUUACCCAUUGUCACCCUGCCAUCACCGUCACCACCAUCGCACCAACACCACAACUAUUACCACCUUCGUCACCAUUACCAUUGUGGUCACUCUCAUAUAAAAAUACUCUUAAUCUUAAUAUAACAUGAAACCUUUAAAAUGAGUUUUUAUUUUAAAAUUAGUUUAAAAUUAAAAGUAAAAAUUGGUUAUUAUUUUUAAAAAUUUCAAACUUCAAAACUAAAAACAACCUCAAAAAGGAUAAAUAAUUUUUAAAACAUUACAGAUAGUAAAAAAUACUACAAGAUAUUAAAAAUAUUGCUUAUUUUUUUAAGGAAAAAAUUGUUUAAUAAAUCUUAUUUAGAAACAUUUUUUAAUUAAUAAAAAAAUUUAGAAACCAAUUCAACUAACGUGCCAAAUAUAACUUAAUUUGAGAGAUUUAUUUCCAACAGUAACAAAUAAAAAGAAAGAGUAAUUAAUAUUAUUUUUUUUCAAGUGAGUUUAAUUUUUAAAGUAGUUAUUAUAAAAAUGAUUAAUAAUUAAUAUUGUUUUACAUGACAAUUUAUAUUUAAAUACAGUGGAAAAAAAUUUAUGGUUUUAGUGUAUUUAAAUUGAAAUCCUAAUUUUUUCAAUGUUUUAAUGUUUACAAACUAAAUUGUUGUUCUCUUUUUCCUAAAAAUCUCAAGUCUCUUUUAAAAUUUUAAUGUAAAAAAUAAAAACAUUUUAAAUAGUGGUGCAAACAGGACAGAGGUUCUGGGUUUUCUUUUCACAUUACAAAGUACAAACACUCUGCAGCAGGAGCGUACGCAUAACUCCCCGCCGUCCGGACAUUUCUUGGUUCCUGGUACGUGUGUCUGACUUUUUUUUCUUACUAUGUUGUCUUCUGCCUUAGGAUUUGUGCUUUGUUUCUGCGUUCAUAAAUCAGAAUCAAGAUCUCAUUACUACUUUCGCACGUGUUGCUUUUGUUGAUCUGGGUAAUAAGGGUUGAGCCCUUUUAUCUUUUCUGAUUAUGCAUGCUGAUGAAGUUGAUGGGAACGUAUUCAGUUUUUUUGAGCUUCUUUUUAGGUUGUUUAGAAUUCUGAAAAAUAAGUGAGGGACUUGAGAUUGAUUUUCUAAGGUAACUGUUCAGUGCACUGCCCAAAUGUUCAAAAGUAACACCAUACACACAAAGGAGAAGAAAAUAAGAAGGAAAAAUGAAAUAAGUUUCUCCCAUAAGUUAAAAUUAGCCUUUUGGAGAAGCUAAUUGAUUUUAACUUCAGAAGCUAAUUUUAGCUUAUGGGAGAAGCUUGUUUCAUUUUUUCUUUUUAUUUUCUUUUAAGUGCUUCUGAAGAAGAAACUUAUCAAAACAGGGCCUUAGAAGGAACAUGUUAGCAUGUUAGAUGUCUGAAAGUAUAUUAAAAUCUAAAGUUUUAACCUGCUAUUGCUAAUAUACUCCUUUUGCAACACAAGGAGGAGAAUAUUAGCAUCCUUUAUUCAUGUGUGUGCGUGUGUGUAUGCAUUCCUCAAGGUGGAUCUAUCAAAAGCUACGUGUGUGCAGUUGAAAGAGCAUUCAUCCUCCACACCAACCUUGGAAAGUGUAGUUAUGUUUGGCAUGCUUUAUUUAAUAGUUUUUCUUAGUAUCAGAAUUUUGGACCAUUCCACUUUCCUUCCUUCUCUUUAUUAUAUUAAUCAACAACAAUAAGAAGAAUAAUUAAUUGGUAUUAUUGUGCAGAAACUCUAAUUUCCCAAUUUGUGGUUGAAGAUUUGGGUAGGGACUUAGGGUAAGAGAUGGUACAACACAGGUUUUUGAGAGACAAGUUCUCUCCUCAAAUCACUUUACGUAUUGUGAUACCAUUCCACUUUCCUUUUCUCUAUUUAUCAUUCCUGUAACUACCACCCCUUAACUGCUUAACAACUCUCUGAGUACAACUAUCAACAAAUCAAUCAUUCCGUUAGUCUUCUUAGAGUCAUGAUUCCCUACAUCACUUCCUAUUUUUCCUAGCAUACACCCCUUAGUAAAAGGGGGUCUCUGGUAAGGAUGUGAUAUUUUUUUUUUUGGUGUCGUAACUAAUAAGAAUGUGAUCGUAAGGAUAAUAUCGUUGAAAGCCAUCUAUAGCCAUCAUUGUUACCCGGCCCCUCCCUCUCAUCUUUCAACACCCUCAGCUCAGCUAAAUGCAGCGUUUAACUGGUAAUUGCUCAUUCUUUGUAUUGCUUUUAAUUUUUUGCUUUGCUUUGUUCUGAGGUUUUUGUUUUGUUUAAGGUUUCUAUUAUCUAAGUUGCUGUUCGUUUGGAUUUCGCUUUGUAGAAUAGUAGAGUGAAAUUCAAACGACUUUUGAGUUCAAUUAAUAUUAUUUUUCUCAUAAUUUUUUUGGUCACAUGAUUCUGUACUGAUUUUGAGGGUCAGAAUUCGAAGAAUGUUUUGAUUUGUUUUCUUUCCAUUAAGAGCAAUUUUGGACCGGAUUUUAAUUUUUAAUUUCCAAGUUAUUGAAUUAAGCUUUCCCCUUUGGAGGCUUUUGAGGCUGUUUUUAGAUGUGGGUUGUUUGGUUUUUACUUACUUAUAUUUUAGUAAUUUUCUGUUCUGGGUCUCCCUCUUGUUACCGAAAUUUUUUGUUUUCUAUACAAUGAACCUCGUGCUGUGAAAAAAUCACCAAACUGCAUGUUGGACUUGUAUGAAACAAAAGACCAAACUUAGCAGCAUAUGCUUUCUAUUCACUUUUAUAGCACACCCUAUAACAGGGAAUAUAGAGCAAACUCUUUGGUCAAUAUUGUACAUGAUAAGUUGAGGGAAAUUGGUAAUGGUGUGUGGUGUUCUAACCUUGAAAUUCAUGAUGCGCUGACUUAGUAUUUGGCAAAAUAUGUAUCCUCAGUUACGUUAAAAUUUGAAUGCGAAAGCUUGACUCCUUGUCUUUUUCUUCAUUCUUCUUUGUGUUGUUUCAUUGUGCUUAUAUUUUCCCCCUUAGUAUUGUCCUUUUUUCUGUACUGAUUUUAUCUAUGCACUUAUUCUGUGCUAAAUUUGAAAUUCUGUAUUAAAAGUGACUCCCCUUCUUUAAAAAUCACUGUGAAAAUAUGAAAGAGGGAAUGGAACUGACCCUUAGAAUCAUUAGCAUUCUUGUCUGGAUGGUAUAUGAAAUGAAGUAGAAUUAGCUAAUUAUUAAAUUAACCAACUCUUUUCAGAUGAAAAGAUAGGAAGAACAGUCCAUUAGAGUAACCAGGUGCACCUGAAAGAAUAUUAAUCUAUUCUUGUAAAACUCCUUUAUUUCAUUAAGUUUUAUUGAUUAGUUGUUAGGUCCGGAUAUCAAAUGUAUGAAACCAAUAUAAUGGCAUGAUGAUAGACCAGAGACCCCCUUUUACUAAGGGGUGUAUGCUAGGAAAAAUAGGAAGUGAUGUAGGGAAUCAUGACUCUAAGAAGACUAACGGAAUGAUUGAUUUGUUGAUAGUUGUACUCAGAGAGUUGUUAAGCAGUUAAGGGGUGGUAGUUACAGGAAUGAUAAAUAGAGAAGAGGAAAGUGGAAUGGUAUCACAAUACGUAAAGUGAUUUGAGGAGAGAACUUGUCUCUCAAAAACCUGUGCUGUACCAUCUCUUACCCUAAGUCCCUACCCAAAUCUUCAACCACAAAUUGGGAAAUUAGAGUUUCUGCACAAUAAUACCAAUUAAUUAUUCUUCUUAUUGUUGUUGAUUAAUAUAAUAAAGAGAAGGAAGGAAAGUGGAAUGGUAUCACAUUACAUGUUCUGUUAAUUGGAGCUGGACAUUUCUUUGUUCCCUUUUCUCAAAUUUUCUGAAUUCAAUAGAUCAAAACCCAAAUUCUCUCAAUUUCAGUUUUCAUCCUCCAAAAACCUCUCUCUCUAACUUCUCAAAAGGUUUUCCCCAUUUACAAGCUUAACCCACAGGUUCUUUCUUCCUCUGUUACUCAAUUUUCAGUUUGUUUUUUUGCUUUUAAUCUGACCCCAUAGCUAUGAUGUUCUGCGAAUUAGAUUCCAUGAUAGUAAUGUUGACUGUUGCUAAGACUGGAACAUGGUAAAUGCCACUGUCAGUGCUCCUUUAGAUAUCUGAAUUGUGGAAAUCUUGGAUAAACAGCUCAUAACUAUAACAGAGACAUUCAAAAUCUUUAUCUUACUCCUGUACCUCUGUACAUGUAAUAGUUAGUGGCAAUGAAAAAUAAGAGCUGAUAAUUUCUUCUUUAGAUUAGUUGUUGUGAUACAACAUAUUGAUCUGUGAAUUCUGAAUCUUGUUGGCAUCUUUCAUUGCAUGAUGAGCCUGCUUUGUAAAAGUCCCAACUAGCCUUGCCGCUAUUUUUUUUUUUUUUUGUUUUAAUUUUGCAAAGUUUGUAGGAAGCCAUGUUCAUUUUUUACUGUUACUACUGUUAUUUUUUAAUUACAAUUUAAAAAUGCAUCUUUCUAUCCUUCAAAGUAUCUAGGAAACCAGUUAUACAUACAUAUAUCUCCUAUGCCAUACAGCCAUACCACUGUUUUUAUUAGUUUUAUGUCGUGAUCCUGAGAUACCUUCUGAUAGACACACUAAUUGUUUCAUGUUAAAUUCCUAGGAUAUACUAUUACACAACUCCUUCAUAGUUGCCUAUCAGCCACAGCCAAUAUGCUUUUUUUUUUUUAAAAAAAAGAAUUUGAUGCAUUAUUUCGGUAGUGUUACAAUUGAAUGUGUAGAUUUUAUUUUACUUCUGAAUUAUUUUUUACAAGUCUUUUAUAUAAAAUUUCAGAGCUUGGUCUUUUAUAUGAAGGGUCCUAGCCAUAUUUAUGUGACUUGGCCCUUUUUUUUUAAUUUGCUUUUUUGUAUGGUAUAAGUCGUUUGAUGUUGACGUUAUAACCUGAUAUUGCACAAGAUUCACCAUGGCAACUAUGAGAGGCUGUAAUCGAUUUGAAGGAUGAACCACUGGACUUGUCUAUAAUUUUUGAAGGAGGAAAGGGUUGUAACAGCAGAUUUUUGUUCCAUCAUCAUAUUAUCUGAACUUCUGGUAGAAAAUGGCAGCUGAAGAUGAUAGGAAUCUUGUCGAAAUCAUGGAAACCCUGAAUCCAAUAGAUGUUGCUAAAUACAUGAAUUUUGUUGGUGCCCCCCAAGCUGGUGCUAUAGCUACAUUUUCAGGCACAACUCGCGACACCUUUGAAGGAAAAACAGUCGUGGAGUUGAGAUACGAAGCUUAUGUUCCAAUGGCAAUACGCUGUAUCAAGUCAAUCUGUUCAUCUGCUAGAGCAUCCUGGAACAUACAUUCUGUUGCUGUUGCUCAUCGUCUAGGCACAGUGCCUGUUGGUGAAACAAGUGUCUUCGUUGCUGUCUCGUCUGUCCACCGGGCUGAUGCGCUGGAGGCUUGUAGAUUUUUGAUAGAUGAGAUAAAAGCACAAGUUCCUAUUUGGAAAAAGGAGGUCUAUUCAAAUGGGGAGGUUUGGAAGGAGAACAGUGAGUUCCUAGAGAGGAGGUCUGAGCUUGGUAACAAGAAUGCAGCUUGCUGUGGGAAAAAGGCAGAAAUUAAAGAGCACAACAAAAAGUCUUGCUGUAGGACCAAGGUUCGGGCUGAUGACGAAUGUAGCUAGAACUAGUAUCAAUGUUGGGGAUCAAAUAUACAAGAGGGUAAUUGCAAUUGUUGUAGUUUGAAGAAUAUGCCCCUUUUCCUCCCUUUGCAUUUGUCCAAUCAGUUGAUAAGAUUGUAUUUUAGCUUUGAAGUCAAUAAGUUUGCCUAUUGAGAUAGAUAGGCUACUUUGAUAUCUCAUUCUGCCCUUUUUUUAGUUUAUUGUGAACAAAGGUGAUAAUGACAUAUUGACAGCAAGAGUUUUAUUAGAAGUUAAUUCCAAGACGUAUAUUUUUUGUAUUAACAAUUCCUUAAUCACCUGAUUUAGGUUUAGUCACACUUAAAGCUCUCCACCCCUCCCAAAGAGCG